This 220-nucleotide long non-coding RNA is filed under the name Gossypium barbadense (sea-island cotton). Its description in RNAcentral is "long non-coding RNA (GBAR_LNC001297)". Lineage: Eukaryota; Viridiplantae; Streptophyta; Magnoliopsida; Malvales; Malvaceae. The record is from RNAcentral.
AAAUCCCAUACUCCCAUUGCAUUUCAACUCGCACAAACAAGCCCAAGAACAACAAUGAAAACCCAUACGUCCUUCCAAUUUCUGCCACCAGAACUUACUCAUAAGUGCCUUUAAGUCACGUCAUAAUGAAUUGGGAACCAAAAAGCAUUGCAUAGCAAAAGUAAGGAGUCUUUAUAAAACUAAUUUAAUAAAAACCUCCCUACGCCAUUGAGAUAAAAAC